Molecule: long non-coding RNA, 1306 nt
Filed under: Homo sapiens (human)
Lineage: Eukaryota; Metazoa; Chordata; Mammalia; Primates; Hominidae
Description: HSALNT0370053
Source: RNAcentral
AGUAUGUACCUGUAAAAUCAACAUGGAUUAAGGACAAAAAUGGACACAAUGUAACCAAAGUGAUCUCCUACGUAGUUGAUCUGAUAAAUAAUGCAGGCAACAGUAAUUAAAACAGCUGACCAAUUUGAUGGUUUCAAGAUAAAAGAGUUGCUUUAUGGACUUCAUAAAAUAUGGUCAGUACACACUAUAAGGUAUUUUUCUUUUAAACACUUCAGAAUCAAUACCUCUAUAGUAUCUCAAGGUUAUUCAGGUUGUCUCCAUUUCAUGUAUUCUAGAAUGUCAUUAUUGACUUUGCACUUGACAUUCUUCCCUGUGUCUGUUAGACUGGCCUUGGCAGCAAAGAAAGGCCAUAUGGUGCCCAUCCAUAUGGAUAGGCUGGCUGGAUUUUAGAAUCUUAUUCCCUACUGAUGUUCCUGUUGUGUGAACAGAAUAACUUCUAUUUAAGAGUAAAACAUGUGGGAUUCCAGCCUUGCAUAUUGUAUCAGUUAGAAAAUGUGCUCAAUUGUGAGGAGCAGAGACCUGAAAACAGGGCUUAAACACACUAGAUGUGGUACAGGGGCUCUGCAACCUCAUUGUAGACUUUCCAUCCCUCUUCUCUGACAUCUUUGAGUUGUGACUCCUUUCCUCAAGGCUGCCUCAUACAUAUAAAGUGGCUACUAGAACUCCAAACGGCAUUUUCUCAUUCCUAGUAGGAAGAAGGGAAAACACAAGGAACAAAAGGAGCAUGCCAGCUGAGUCAUUGCCUAUUUUUAAGGAGCAUUACCAGAAGACACACCCAACAACUUAUGUUUGCAUCUCAUUGGCUAGGAUUUAGUCUUAUGCACCUCUCAUCUUCUAGGAAUCCUGGGAAAUCUAGUAUAUUUUAGGAAAAGAAGAUUUGGUGUCUACACUGCUAGUACUCCAGUUCAGCUUUCGCUGACCAUGACUCUAUUUGGCUAACUGCACAGAUCACAAUCAUACAUUUUGGACAAAAUGUCUUUGGAGAAGCCGCAUUGAAGAUAUUGCAACUGGAAGACCCUUCUGAAAUAGAAAAUCUCUAUUUAUCCUAAGGUCUCUCUUGAAACAAAAGAGCUUCCUAGCAACAUAUUUUGGAAAUGCUGAAAUUAAAGUUCAGGCUUAUGUCCUUAUGUACUUAAAAUAUGAGAGAUGAGAAGAUAAAAGAAUAGAGUGCUGAGGAAUGAAACUUUCUUUUAAGGCGUGAAUGUUUGGGCUCGGUACAUAAAUAGAAAGGGUAAUUUCAUUUAAAGAAAAAGAAAAAUGAAAUCCCUUUGUCUCACAUAAGUAAAUGAUGUAUCUGUUCCAGAAC